RNAcentral lists this ribosomal RNA (413 nucleotides) under uncultured bacterium. RNAcentral's name for it is "bacterial SSU rRNA". It matches the Rfam family "Bacterial small subunit ribosomal RNA", at positions 954 to 1363 of the family's 1533-position model. The record is from RNAcentral.
GCAAAACGCGAAGAACCUUACCAGGUCUUGACAUCCCAUUGACCACUAUGGAGACAUAGUUUUCCCUUCGGGGACAACGGUGACAGGUGGUGCAUGGUUGUCGUCAGCUCGUGUCGUGAGAUGUUGGGUUAAGUCCCGCAACGAGCGCAACCCUUGUUCUUAGUUGCCAUCAUUUAGUUGGGCACUCUAAGGAGACUGCCGGUGACAAACCGGAGGAAGGUGGGGAUGACGUCAAAUCAUCAUGCCCCUUAUGACCUGGGCUACACACGUGCUACAAUGGACGGUACAAACGGUUGCCAACCCGCGAGGGGAGCUAAUCCGACUAAAACCGUUACUCGGUUCGGUAGUUGUAGGCUGCAACUCGCCUACAUGAAGCCGGAAUCGCUAGUAAUCGCGGAUCAGCAUGCCGCGGU